RNAcentral lists this ribosomal RNA (440 nucleotides) under uncultured bacterium. RNAcentral describes it as "partial 16S ribosomal RNA". It matches the Rfam family "Bacterial small subunit ribosomal RNA", at positions 338 to 795 of the family's 1533-position model. The record is from RNAcentral.
CCUACGGGAGGCAGCAGUGGGGAAUAUUGCACAAUGGGGGAAACCCUGAUGCAGCGACGCCGCGUGAAGGAAGAAGUAUUUCGGUAUGUAAACUUCUAUCAGCAGGGAAGAAAAUGACGGUACCUGACUAAGAAGCCCCGGCUAACUACGUGCCAGCAGCCGCGGUAAUACGUAGGGGGCAAGCGUUAUCCGGAUUUACGGGGUGUAAAGGGAGCGUAGGCGGGGCUGCAAGUCAGAAGUGAAAGCCCGGGGCUCAACUCCGGGACUGCUUUUGAAACUGUGUUGCUAGAUUGCAGGAGAGGUAAGUGGAAGUCCUAGUGUAGCGGUGAAAUGCGUAGAUAUUAGGAGGAACACCAGUGGCGAAGGCGGCUUGCUGGACUGUAAAUGACGCUGAGGCUCGAAAGCGUGGGGAGCAAACAGGAUUAGAUACCCGUGUAGUC